UCUGGCUCAGGACGAACGCGGGCGGCGUGCUUAACACAUGCAAGUCGAACGAUGAACCGCUUUCGGGCGGGGAUUAGUGGCGAACGGGUGAGUAACACGUGGGCAAUCUGCCCUGCACUCUGGGACAAGCCCUGGAAACGGGGUCUAAUACCGGAUAUGACUGUCUUCCGCAUGGUGGAUGGUGUAAAGCUCCGGCGGUGCAGGAUGAGCCCGCGGCCUAUCAGCUUGUUGGUGAGGUAGUGGCUCACCAAGGCGACGACGGGUAGCCGGCCUGAGAGGGCGACCGGCCACACUGGGACUGAGACACGGCCCAGACUCCUACGGGAGGCAGCAGUGGGGAAUAUUGCACAAUGGGCGAAAGCCUGAUGCAGCGACGCCGCGUGAGGGAUGACGGCCUUCGGGUUGUAAACCUCUUCAGCAGGAAGAAGCAAAGGAC
RNAcentral lists this ribosomal RNA (436 nucleotides) under Streptomyces griseus. RNAcentral describes it as "bacterial SSU rRNA". It matches the Rfam family "Bacterial small subunit ribosomal RNA", at positions 18 to 458 of the family's 1533-position model. Lineage: Bacteria; Bacillati; Actinomycetota; Actinomycetes; Kitasatosporales; Streptomycetaceae. The record is from RNAcentral.